This 253-nucleotide ribosomal RNA is filed under the name uncultured bacterium. RNAcentral describes it as "partial 16S ribosomal RNA". It matches the Rfam family "Bacterial small subunit ribosomal RNA", at positions 524 to 776 of the family's 1533-position model. The record is from RNAcentral.
UACGGAGGAUGCGAGCGUUAUCCGGAUUUAUUGGGUUUAAAGGGUGCGCAGGCGGUGCGCCAAGUCUGAUGUGAAACCCCGGGGCUCAACCCCGGGCAUGCAUUGGAAACUGGCGGGCUGGAGUGCCGGAGAGGUAAGCGGAAUUCCUAGUGUAGCGGUGAAAUGCGUAGAUAUUAGGAGGAACACCAGUGGCGAAGGCGGCUUACUGGACGGCAACUGACGCUGAGGCUCGAAAGCGUGGGGAGCAAACAGG